GACAGUUAGGCAUCUUGGAUUUGGGUUCUGUCUUCUAGGAGAGCUGGCAGAACCCAUUGUGUAUUUACACUGCAGCUGCCUCACUCUGCUAGGUCCCAGGCCCUGCAGCUGCAGCAGUUCUGGAAGAUGCAAGACCGGCAGAAGAGUGAGGAUGAUGCCUGCAGUGUCUCAGAAGGCUGGAGUCCCUGAAGGAUGAGAGCGCAGAGGAGAUGGAGAGGGGCCUGGCCAGUCCCCAAACAGGACCUUCGAGUGAUAUGCCGUGUUCUUAAAAAAAAAAAAUCCAAGGAUUCCAAAGAAAUUAACUGAGAUGCAGAGGAGGCCAGGAAGGCCAGGUUAAACAUUGAAUAAGUUUCACUUAGCAAACACCUUCACUGCUCUUCCACGGUGAGAAAAAUGGUGCACCAACCCCACGGAUGACAGCUCUAGGCUGCUUAAAUCCCUCUUGGAUCGCGCCUCGCAAGCCCAGCCGCCGCCGCAACAAGCUCGGGAAAACUGCAUUGUUAAUAAACCUUUUGGUUCUGAGGACACCAAGAGCAUCUUAUGGCAAAAGGCCUCUAGACUGACAAAUCUCCGUUGCCAGGAGGGAGCUACUCCUAGCUACCAAGUCGGAGAGUCCAGCUUGGAAGAACUUGAGGAUACUUCAAACCAAAACCAGGAGAAACUCCGCUCCACCAGUCUGACGCUGGAAAAGACUUGUGCUCGGUGAG
RNAcentral lists this long non-coding RNA (707 nucleotides) under Ailuropoda melanoleuca (giant panda). RNAcentral's name for it is "lncRNA (ENSAMEG00000025140.1)". Lineage: Eukaryota; Metazoa; Chordata; Mammalia; Carnivora; Ursidae. The record is from RNAcentral.